AAACACAGGGUAUGUAGGCUCCU
Molecule: non-coding RNA, 23 nt
Filed under: Cricetulus griseus (Chinese hamster)
Lineage: Eukaryota; Metazoa; Chordata; Mammalia; Rodentia; Cricetidae
Source: RNAcentral